This 684-nucleotide ribosomal RNA is filed under the name uncultured bacterium. Its description in RNAcentral is "partial 16S ribosomal RNA". It matches the Rfam family "Bacterial small subunit ribosomal RNA", at positions 723 to 1399 of the family's 1533-position model. The record is from RNAcentral.
GGAUUACUGGACGACCAACCGCCGGGGGGGGCGCGAAAAGCGUGGGGGAGCAAAACAGGAUUAGAUACCCCUGGUAGUCCCCCCCUGUAAAACGAUCAAUAAUAGGUGUGCGGGGGAGUGACCCCCCUGCGUGCCGGAGUUAACACCAAUAAGUAUUGCACCUGGGGAGUACGAUCGCAAGGUUGAAACUCAAAGGAAUUGACGGGGGCCCGCACAAGCGGUGGAUUAUGUGGUUUAAUUUGAAGCAACGCGAGGAACCUUACCAGGGCUUGACAUCCUGCUAACGAAGUAGAGAUACAUCAGAAACCCUUCGGGGAAAGCAGAGACAGGUGGUGCAUGGUUGUCGUCAGCUCGUGUCGUGAGAUGUUGGGUUAAGUCCCGCAACGAGCGCAACCCCUAUUGUUAGUUGUUACGCAAGAGCACUCUAGCGAGACUGCCGUUGACAAAACGGAGGAAGGCGGGGGGGACGUCAAAUCAUCAUGCCCCCUAUGUCUUGGGGUACACACGUAAUACAAUGGCGGUCAACAGAGGGAUGCAAAGCCGCGAGGCAAAGCGAACCCCCAAAAACCGUCCCAGUUCGGAUAGCAGGCUGCAACCCGCCCGCGUGAAGUCGGAAUCGCUAGUAAUCGCGGAUCAGCAUGCCGCGGCGAAUAUGUUCCCGGGCCUUGUACACACCGCCCGUCA